GGAAUUAUGGCUCAGUGGUAGAGUGCUUGCCUAGCAUGCCAGAGGCACUGGGUUCAAUCCCCAGCACCA
RNAcentral lists this transfer RNA (69 nucleotides) under Ictidomys tridecemlineatus (thirteen-lined ground squirrel). RNAcentral's name for it is "Spermophilus tridecemlineatus (thirteen-lined ground squirrel) tRNA". It matches the Rfam family "tRNA". From Rfam's summary of the family: Transfer RNA (tRNA) molecules are approximately 80 nucleotides in length. Lineage: Eukaryota; Metazoa; Chordata; Mammalia; Rodentia; Sciuridae. The record is from Rfam by way of RNAcentral.